AUACGAAAGGUGCAAGCGUUGUUCGGAUUUACUGGGCGUAAAGAGAGUGUAGGUUGUUUAUUAAGUCGGAUGUGAAAUCCCGGGGCCCAACCUCGGAACUGCAUUCGAUACUGAUAGGCUAGAGUUCGGGAGGGGUAAGCGGAAUUCCGUGUGUAGCAGUGAAAUGCGUAGAUAUACGGAGGAACACCUGAGGCGAAGGCGGCUUACUGGACCGAUACUGACACUGAGACUCGAAAGCGUGGGUAGCAAACAGGAUUAGAAACCCCAGUAGUCC
RNAcentral lists this ribosomal RNA (274 nucleotides) under uncultured bacterium. RNAcentral's name for it is "partial 16S ribosomal RNA". It matches the Rfam family "Bacterial small subunit ribosomal RNA", at positions 523 to 796 of the family's 1533-position model. The record is from RNAcentral.